UCUCCGUAGGUGAACCUGCGGAGGGAUCAUUACUGAGUGAGGGCUCCGGCCCGAUCUCCAACCCCAUGUGAACCGAAACCUGUUGCUUCGGGGGCGACCCUGCCUUCGUGCGAGGCGCCCCCGGAGGCUCAUCAAACACUGCAUCUCUGCGUCGGAGUCUUAAUGAAUUUAAACAAAACUUUUAACAACGGAUCUCUUGGUUCCAGCAUCGAUGAAGAACGCAGC
Molecule: unclassified non-coding RNA, 225 nt
Filed under: uncultured fungus
Lineage: Eukaryota; Fungi
Description: sequence contains ITS1, 5.8S rRNA gene
Rfam family: 5.8S ribosomal RNA (bases 177-225)
Source: RNAcentral